CGGUGACCGUGGCAGUGUAGGUGGAAGCAGCGGUGGAGGAGGAGGAUGAGGUAGCCAUCACUGUUUUAUAUAUAUAUAUAUAUAUAUAUAUAUAUAUUUAAAAAAAUAAAUAAAUUUUGAUGGCGACUUUGCAUUCGGAUGUCAUCCAUAUCAAGUUUCGAUGCCAGUUUCUACGCCUACCAUGGUGACCACAGGUAACGGGGAAUUAGGGUUCCAUUCUGUACAGGGCCCCUGAGAAAUGGUUACCACAUGCAAGGAAGGCAGCAGGCGCGCAAAUUACCCACUCCCGGCGCGGGAAGAUAGUGACG
Molecule: ribosomal RNA, 308 nt
Filed under: Pelobates cultripes (western spadefoot toad)
Lineage: Eukaryota; Metazoa; Chordata; Amphibia; Anura; Pelobatidae
Rfam family: Eukaryotic small subunit ribosomal RNA
Source: RNAcentral